UUUGACGACAUUUUAUUCUACAGUGCCUCUCUUCAAGAUCACACAAUCCACUUGCAAUCAGUGCUUGAGUUGUUAAGAAGGGAUCAAUGGCAAGUCAAAUGCUCAAAGUGCUCUUUCGCUCAACGCCAGUUAUCCAAUUUGGGCCAUACUAUCAGCCAGCAUGGGGUUGCCACUGAAACCCACAAAAAUAAGAACAUUGCCAACUGGUCUUCUCCGCAACCAGUCAAAGAAGUCCACAGCUUCUGA
This 246-nucleotide ribosomal RNA is filed under the name Triticum aestivum (bread wheat). RNAcentral describes it as "partial small subunit ribosomal RNA". The record is from RNAcentral. Lineage: Eukaryota; Viridiplantae; Streptophyta; Magnoliopsida; Poales; Poaceae.